RNAcentral lists this ribosomal RNA (496 nucleotides) under uncultured bacterium. RNAcentral's name for it is "partial 16S ribosomal RNA". It matches the Rfam family "Bacterial small subunit ribosomal RNA", at positions 28 to 506 of the family's 1533-position model. The record is from RNAcentral.
GAUGAACGCUGGCGGCGUGCCUAAUACAUGCAAGUCGAGCGAACAGACGAGGAGCUUGCUCCUCUGACGUUAGCGGCGGACGGGUGAGUAACACGUGGAUAACCUACCUAUAAGACUGGGAUAACUUCGGGAAACCGGAGCUAAUACCGGAUAAUAUAUUGAACCGCAUGGUUCAAUAGUGAAAGACGGUUUUGCUGUCACUUAUAGAUGGAUCCGCGCCGCAUUAGCUAGUUGGUAAGGUAACGGCUUACCAAGGCAACGAUGCGUAGCCGACCUGAGAGGGGAAUCGGCCACAUGGGAAUGGGACAAGGUCCAAAAUCCCAAGGGGGGGCAGAAGAGGGAAAUUUCCGGCAGUGGGGGAAGGCUGUAGGGGGAAACGCCGGUUGGGGGAGGAGGGUCUUCGGUUUGUAAAACUCUUUUAUUGGGGAAAAAAAAAUUUGUAAGUAACUAUGCACGUCUGGGGGGUCCCAAAUCAAAAAACCGCGGCUAGCUACGU